GAAAGACAGAAAGAGAGAGUAAGGAGUGGAGAAAGACAGAAAGAGAGAGUAAGGAGUGGAGAAAGACAGAAAGAGAGAGUAAGGAGAGGAGAAAGAGAGAAAGAGAGAGUAAGGAGUGGAGAAAGAGAGAGUAAGGAGUGGAGAAAGACAGAAAGAGAGAGUAAGGAGUGGAGAAAGACAGAAAGAGAGAAGAGAGAAAGAGAGAAAGAGAGAGUAAGGAGUGGAGAAAGAGAGAGUAAGGAGUGGAGAAAGAGAGAAAGAGAGAGUAAGGAGAGGAGAAAGAGAGAGUAAGGAGUGGAGAAAGACAGAAAGAGAGAGUAAGGAGUGGAGAAAGACAGAUAGAGAGAGUAAGGAGUGGAGAAAGACAGAAAGAGAGAGUAAGGAGUGGAGAAAGAAAGAGUAAGGAGUGGAGAAAGACAGAAAGAGAGAGAAAGAGAG
Oncorhynchus tshawytscha (Chinook salmon) is the source of this 438-nucleotide long non-coding RNA. The record is from Ensembl. NCBI's taxonomy places the organism in Eukaryota, Metazoa, Chordata, Actinopteri, Salmoniformes, Salmonidae.